AUACGUAGGGUGCGAGCGUUGUCCGGAAUUACUGGGCGUAAAGAGCUCGUAGGUGGUUUGUCGCGUCGUCUGUGAAAUUCCGGGGCUUAACUCCGGGCGUGCAGGCGAUACGGGCAUAACUUGAGUACUGUAGGGGAGACUGGAAUUCCUGGUGUAGCGGUGAAAUGCGCAGAUAUCAGGAGGAACACCGGUGGCGAAGGCGGGUCUCUGGGCAGUAACGGACGCUGGGGAGCGAAAGCAUGGGUAGCGAACAGGAUUAGAUACCCUGGUAGUCCAUGCCGUAAACGGUGGGCGCUAGGUGUAGGGGUCUUCCACGACUUCUGUGCCGUAGCUAACGCAUUAAGCGCCCCGCCUGGGGAGUACGGCCGCAAGGCUAAAACUCAAAGGAAUUGACGGGG
RNAcentral lists this ribosomal RNA (398 nucleotides) under uncultured bacterium. RNAcentral describes it as "partial 16S ribosomal RNA". It matches the Rfam family "Bacterial small subunit ribosomal RNA", at positions 523 to 918 of the family's 1533-position model. The record is from RNAcentral.